CCCACCAAUCAGCCAUCUGUGGUUUGAGACUCACAAGCUUAGGAGAGACUCGGGAGGCAUCAGUUCCGCAUCCCGCACUCCCACGUGAAUUUGCCCCCGCCCUGAGUCAGAACCCUAGAGGGGUGAAAUCCCUGAAUUCUGCAGAGGAAACCCAUACUUCUUUGCUUUUUCAGCAAUUCCAGGAGAUGUCGUUUUUCAAGUGGCAAAUGUGUGGCUCUAGAGGACAGAGUAACCACCUUGCAGCCAAGAAGCCCUGAUGUCAACUCCCAGCUCUGCUGCAGCACCCAGAAAUCACCGGACCUUUCUGCAUCUUUCUGGGUGACUCUGUCAUGAGGAUUUCAUAAUGUAAUUCCCUAGCACAUAAGAAUUUCUCAACCAAUAUGGCUUUCUUUUUUCCUUCUCACUAGUCUUUGAGCUUCUUAAAGGGAAGACAUGUCCUAUUCAUCUCUACACCCCCCACACCAGUCUGCAUUCAGUAAGUGCUCAAUCAAUGUCUGCUGAAUCACAUCUUCCCACUCAACUGCAUGGCCUCGGAUGAUCCAAUUCUGUGGGACUCAGGGUCUCCCUGAUUCUGAAGAUCUCCAUUUCAGCCACCCCAUCCUGGUGCUUUUUCUGGAGAGACUGGGAAAAAGGUCUUAUUGGCUGUGCAAACUUGAGGGAGUUGCCUAACCACUCUGGGCCCUGUUUUCCUGGCUUUGCCACUCUUCAGCUGUGUGACCCGGGGAAGCUCUCAACCUCUUUGUGCCUCCAUUUCCACAUCUGUAAAAUGGGGAUAUGAAAGUGGCUGCUUUGUGAAGAGUCCUGAGAAUAAAUGAGUUAAGGAAAACUGAUAUGGAUAAAUAUGGAAGAGAGCUGGCCAGUGGAUGAAAUGGUGAUGUAAAGGUUAAGAGAAAUAAAAGCAGGAGACGAGGAGAGAGUCACACCACGGUGAGCAGAGAGUUGAGCUGGGGCCCGGGACAAGCAUCAAAAGUGUCACUUCCUCUGAGGUCCCAACCCUACUUCCAUAGGCUCUGCAGCCCACACCACCUUGGAACCAAACAGGGAGGUGGCAGAACUGAUGGGCUGGCCGCACCACCUUAAAUCUCUUAGCUCCAAAACUGGAGGUGCUCAUCAGGACCCUGCAUCAUUUCUGUGGGUGAUGGAUGGUGUGAGGUAAGGCACAGAGAUCUAGACUUAUUUCUCCUUCCACAACAAUUGUUUCUUGGAAGAGGAAGAAAACUUAGCUGGAUUUUAUCUCUUUGUGUGGAUUUCUGGGGUAGACACCCAGAGGUGUGUGCAGGAGCAUGCUCUUUGGGGCCCACAUAGAGAUUCCAGCAGGUGCUGGAGAUUCUGGGGUAGCCUUUCCAUGACUGCUGGCCUCUUUUCCCCUGUGUUGCUUUGGUUUGCUGUCUGGCUAAAGGCAGGAGUGGGAGAAACUCACAUUCCACAAGAGGCUGCCUGGAGCAGAGGCCAAGAGGGUAAGGUUUGUCCAAGGCCUUCCAUCUCAGCUUUGCUGCCAAUUUGUCAGAAAAAAAAUCAUUUGUGCCAAUUAGACCCUGGUUAGGAAAGUGUUGUCCUGUCUGGGAAGCAGGUACAGAAACCAGUUGCAAGGACAGGAGAUCAAUGAAAGUGACACAUUACUUAUGCCUCCAAUUCUUCUCAGCCCUCAAUUUAGUCUCUGAGACACAGAGAAAAUAAGUGUACUUGCCUUGCUAAUGGGUACAUGGUUGGCUUUGGGCAAUUUAUAUAGAGCACUUUAGUUCCAAGAUGAAAUGCACUGAGAUAUUAGGAUUAGUCUCUGCUUUAAUGAGUUUCUGACUUGCAGGUUUGAAAAAAUUUAGUUCUUUUCUGUAUUUCUCUACAAACACAAAACAAUGAUUUAAUGGUAAAACAACAAUGAAAAGAAACUAGGCCAUUCUCUCCAAAAUGAUUAAAAGGGUACUUCUCCUGACCUGACAUAACCUUUCCUCAUAUGAAUUUAUUAUCUGUAUUCACACUCAUAUUCCACUGGAAUGCCUUGGGUCCAGGUGGAUGGUUGCUUAUGGUUAGUAUCGAUUCUGAGCAGGUAGGCAUUCAUACUGUUUGGUUGACGCCUGUGGUGAACAGACCUUAAGGUGACUUCUUGCACCCCUGAGUCAUUUUCUUGUAUAAUCUCCUCUCUUUGAGGACACAAACUGUGCCCUGCUUCAAACCAGUGGAAUAGAGACAAGGUGAUGAGAUCUUUGGUUAUUGCACCUAACUGCUUCAUUCAUUGCACAAUUAGUCACACGCUGUUUUGUGAUGCAGAACAUUUUUUUUUAAGAGAUGGUAGUCUCACUCUGACACCCAGGUUGGAGUGCAGUGACAUGAUCAGAGCUCACUGCAGCCUCAAACUCCUGGGCUCAAGGGAUCCUCCUGCCUCAGCCUCCUGAGUAGCUGGGACUAGAGGUGCGUGCCACCACACCCAGCUAUUUUUUAUUUUUUGUAGAAAUGGAGUCUCACUUUGUGGCCCAAGCUGGUCUCCAACUCCUGGGCUCAAGUGAUCCUCCCACCUUGGCUUAUCAAAUUGCUGGGAUCACAGGUUUGAGCCACCGUGCUUGGACUGUGAUGCAAAAUUUUAUCUAAACCUUGUAUUGUUGACUAUAGCAUCAUGCACUUACUAUUUUCCCUCUUAACUAGAUUUUAAGUCUCUUGAGGGCAAGAACUCUGUUCUUGAAGAUUUUCAGAAGCCCGAUAGCAUAUGGAAGUACUUGACACACAAUAAGUACACAGUCAUAUGUGAUUUGGUUUCUGAGCCUUCAUUUGUCCAACAAAACCAGAUGGGUCUUAGAUGAAGAUAUACGUGGCAAACACUGCAUGCCUACUGUGGGUCAGGUUAGCUCCCAGACAUGCAGAAAACAAAAGCUCUGUCCUCAGGAGUUCAUGAUGGUUCAACCCAAUCAACGAAGUCUUGCAAUCUCACUUCCUCCUUACCUUGUAGAGUUGGAAGAUAUCCAAAUAUUCCUAGAGUUCUUUGUCAAUCUGUCAGGAUUAUAAUUCCACAGAUCAGGCAGAGUGUAACCAUGAAGCUCUUCAGUGAAUUUUUAGUGACUUUUGGGUGAUUUUUUAGUUUCCAAGUAGAAGAAGCAAAAGACCCUUGUGGUGGUUACCUUCCAUCUAAACAGAGAGUGAGCUACAAAGAUACUGCUGUCCCUCAGUGGCCCAUGGGUGUCCCUGCAAAUCUGUGACUCAAGUGGCCAUAUUCAUAUUAAGCAGACCAGAGAUCAAAACCAUAUUAGGCAUGAACCACUUUUUAUUCAUAGGCUUACCGAAUAUAUUGAAUUAAGAGGCAUAUAGUUUGUAUACCCUAUUUACCAAAAAGAGCUAAAUAUGUAUACAGCCUAAAAUACAUCCACUGUAGUCUGCAUACUGUAAAACUUGCUUCUUUACACAUAGAAACUAUUCUUAUUUUACCUAGGUUAUGCACUUAAAAUACAUACAAAUGGUACCAAAUAGCAUAUUGGCCUAUUUUAUCACAAUUCUUAUACAUUCCUGAUAAUCAAAGGGACUGAUAGGGAAUGCAUAGUUUCCUACUAGAAAAAAAGUAGAUUUUGAUACAAGCAAUGGAAUACAGUAAGGAUAAUAAUAACUUGGUUUCGAUCUCAGUAGCUUUACAAUAUGCUUCUUAUUUGAAUGAGCAUUACAGUUGGCUCUCUUCAUUAAUAAUUGAGAUGUUGUUAAUCUUCCUGGUCAUUCUACCCUCUGCUUGCCUGGCUGAGGCAAAAGAAAUCAUCAUCCUUUUUUCCUUUUCUUUCAGUUUGUUUUUACUUUCCCAAGUUUCCUCCAGAGCCAUCUGCCCCACUUUGCCAUUCCCCUUCCAUUGCCACCCAAAUCCGGACCACUUUCUAAUUGCAUCAUUGCAUACAACUAGAUUAUUGUAUUCCACUCCAGGAAGCUGUUGAACAGAAUCUUUGGCCGCUGCCUAAUUAAAGAACUUCCUUCCGCAGCUGCGAAGGAGAGGCUGAUACCUCUGCAGAAGAAUCAGGAAGCCAGCUUAAGAGGUUUUCUUUAGGUGGCAUGCAAAUAGACUCCCCUCCUGCAGAUCUUCAUCUCACCUUCAUUAUACCCCAGGCCAGAGAAAUUUCCAUCAUGAGCACUCCUGACCGCCAAACCUCUGGCAUCCCAUGCUGAUUUCUUUCCUAAAAAUACACAGACUCUCACUCCAUGGGGAAGAAAAAAUGCAACUCUGCCAUUUCCAGUGUGCUUCCUGAAGGCUGAUGACGGCCGAGAGCAAUUCAUCACCACUCGUGCAUUCAGGUUUUGAAUUUUUCCUUCACAGAUCUCUUCUUGUUUAUCUGGUGGACAAUGUGACAAGAACCAGAUGUGUCUCAACCUCAACAUCCUCCCCAUAGCUAUGCAGGGGGAGAAACAACCAGACCAGCUAGAUAUCCUCCUUAGUACAACAGAAAACUAUCCAAAAUUUCUGGACCACUUUCAAGAGUGGGGCCUUGAAUGUAAAAAGAGUGGGGCAUGCAAUUGCAUGUUUGUUAAUUGUUAAAUGGACCAGUUGAUUGAAUGGUGUCUAUUCAGUAUGAUUUUUCUUCUGGCUAUGCAUAUUUUAUUGCACUUUUUACUUUAUCUCAAGGUGCUGCCAAAUUCAAAAUCAUGCUAGAAAUGAAAGUCUUUCUCUGGGAGAGUAUAGCAGGGUGUCUUAGAAAGAAAAUACAAUGUCUGCUGAUCAGAGGGAAAGUUAUUGCUUUGCCAGUCCCUAUUGGAUAACCAUGGCAGGCAAUUCAUAUAGUUUUCAUGUCUAUUUCCUUCUCUCUGAAAUUAGAAUAAUACCUGCCCUGCAAUAAACUUCAGAGCUAUUUAUGAACAAAUGAGGUGAGUACUAAUGUGCAUUGGAAAAAUAUAAAGCUUUGCUAAAUGUAAGGUGGCCUUAUCAUCCACUGUCCAAUAACACAGUGCUCUUCAUGUCUAAGAGUUAUUUUUAGAGUCUUGAUAAUAGACCCAUUCCCGACCCCAUGGAGUAUGGGGACAAGCCCCCUUUAAGGAAAGGCCUUAAAGCCACAUGGCCGCACAGAGGGAUCAGUCCAGGAGCCUCGCCACAAAGUUCAUAAAGAAGAAAUAAGCUGAGCAGACGACCACCCAGUGGGUGAUGGGAGGGAAAGUAGAAGAAAGAUCCACCCCCUCCUUCAAGCUGAUCUCCACUGGGGACGGUCCACAUAUUUCUCUGCUUUGCAUUUUUGCUGUUGCUUGGUUGGUUUUUUGUUUUACAUUAUUACUGGAAGAAUGCUUCUUGCAGAAGUUGUUUAAAACUUCAGGGAUUCUUGGGAUGGAGCAGUAAGAUUAAUGAAGCAAAGAUAUCACCACCCCGUGCCAAGAACAUCUAUGCUCCUUUAGUAAGUUGGCCAGAACAAAUAUCUCCUUCCACAGCACAGGCGCUCUGUAGACUACAGGCUUUAGUCUUGUAUAAAAUAACAUUAUAAAAAAGGAAAACCUGAUUGCAGUUGAGUGGGUCACCCCCUUCUCACACCCCACCCAUCACCUGUUUAGAUCGUUCUUUCACCUCCUAAUUCCCCAUCUGGACUCAACAGCUCUCCCCAUCCUAAGCCCAGCAUCCUGUGUUUCCUGGUUUCCCAGAAUCUGGCAAUGUGAGCAGAAUAGUGAGUGCAGGGGGUCAGUCGCUCAUUUACCCUCAGAGGGGCAGCUGGGAAUGUGAUACCUCUCUGCAGUAGCAACACUGUGAAAAGAUGCCACCUUGCCAUCUCUACAGGUGGCUGGAAUUGGGAACAUCACUUUGAUCUGGCAUAGUUGCUGGGACUGUCUAAAUAUCUCCUACAGUUUGCCAAGUACCCAUUUUUCUGCCCAGGUUUAUCUGAGUGGUUCCAUGCAACAGAAAGAAUAGCUUGCCAUCUUUAGGACUGGAGGAAUGGCAAAGCUCUUUCCCUUUCAGCCUCCAAUGGGGGGACCUGGGCAUUUGUAGCCUGUUCAAAGAAACCAAGAGGGAAAAAAAAGUGCAGAAGAAAAGUAAUUUGCACUUAAAAAUGAAAACAAACCACUUUUCUCCUGUUUGCUUGGUAUUUUGCAGAAGUUUCAAGUAACAACACUACUAUGCGUGGGUGAGUUCGUUCAUUAAAAUCCGUGGUUUCUGAGGCUAGAAGCCUCAGCCUACAGUCCCAGAAUGUACCCAAGAGUGCUGAUGUAACAUCAAUGCUUCAUUCUCUGAGUGCUAUUUAUUGUCUCAAUCUUCAUUGCUUAAAGUCAGGAAACAACAAACACAUUCAUAUUUGUGGCAAAACAUCUACCUACUCAUGACAUGGCAAAUAGUCAUUUUACAAUAACAAUACAGUACAAUAUGAUCGUGCUACUUUCAUGGCUAGGAAUGAAGUUGUUGGGUUUCUCUUUCAGAGCUACCCCUAAAGGCAUUCACUUUAUAUUCUCUGAAGAGAACCAGCUAACCAGGCGGAACAUCCACUAAGAAUCUUCCACAUAACCAGACCCCAGGAGCUUGCCUAUUGCCCAUACCAGAGAGGCCCAUUUGGAAAUACACCAUCUGGUCUCUUGAGCACAGACCUGGAGUGUGGGAUUCAGCUUGGCUGGCUCCAAAGCUGGCCCCUACUGAUCAGCCUGAGAUCCCCAGCCUGCACAGGCUGAUUCCACUGCCAACACGUGGCCCCAUGUGGGUCCUGGCGGGGGUUCCUUUGGUAAAGUACUGGGAGAGGAAGGAGUCUUCCUAUCUGAGUAUCUUGGGUUGUGAUUUGGUGUGGGCUGCACUGGCAGUGCAAUAGCAGCAACUCAACAAAACAGGACUGUUACACAAGCGGGGCGGAAGGCAGGUGGGCUGGCAGGGAAGUUGGUAUUCGAUUACUUGAAAUAUUAAGUUGUCCAGAGGGCAAGGACACGCACAAAUCAAAGGGCCACCUCUAGGUUUCAAAGCAGGUCGAGAUCUGUGUAAAGUCCCCUUUGACUUCAUAAAAUCUCACUUCAAAAAUUCUACCGAAUGCUCAUCAGACGGAAAUAACUGUUUCAUCCCUCUAAAGGAUGAAAUGAAAAGCACCAGUCUUUGGCCUGCCUGCUGGUUACCCACAAACUCAACGGGUGGGUUCUGAGAAGCAGAUGAGCCAUGAAGAGCAUCAAACAAGCAUUACUGCUCUGGCCACCACCAGGGUCACCUUUGAACCGUAAGAAAGAGGGAAAAACUCCUUUGAGUCACUCCUGGGCCUACAGCCUGUGCUGGGUCUAGACAUGUGUCACCAGAGUAUUGUCUUUGUGGCAGAGGAAGCAAUGUCAAACACUAAAUUGUUAACAUAUCCAUGACAAGCAUUCAUAUGAGCCAACAAAAUCACCAAGGUUCUGCUAUUAAGGAGGAUUCAGGAAGACUGGGCAUUACUUUCAGGAAACUGGGAUGACUCAAAAUAGCACUGCUGAGUGUUACAAGAUUUUUAAACUAAUAAUCAGCAAAUCUUUUCAGCAGACUUUUGGCUUUAAGAGUUCUUACCAAAAAGAUUGCUAAAGUGGAAUGAGAGGGGCUCAAAGUUUUUUUUUAUUUCAUUAUAAGUGCUGUCCCAUCUUAUCCAAUUGUCUUCUUCCUCAUCAAAAAGCGGGGGGGAAGCAUAUUACAUUUCUAGAUGAUAAGAGUAAAUGCUGUACUCUUUUCUCAGAAAUUACAGGCUUUAAGAUUUUUUUUUAAAUGGUAGAAUGGGCAUGUCAUGCAGUUAGCCAAUAAAUGCAAUCCCUGAUUAAAAUGUGAGUUCUAAAAGUUUGAAAACAUCUAACUAUUUCAGUGCUUUUUAAUUUCAGAGCUCUGAGCCUGGCUUUGAUUUGUUUGUUGAUUUUUCUUGGUCCUCUUUUGUGAGAGCUAAUGCUACAUUUCUCUUAGUUUCACCCACCACACCUUCACAAACUUAAGUCAACAAUUAUAUGUUCAAAAAUCUUUGUUUUCCCUUUGAAACUGGAUGCAAAAAAGAAAUCUCUCCUGUCGGUGGAGACAGCUGUGAAUGAACGAGGCGCCUGCACGUAAAUCUCCUUAAACUUUUUGAAUAGCUGCUUCUCUUUAUCCCACUGGUAUAUCUGAGAGAAUGUAUAGUCACUCCCCAGGGCCAGGUAGUGAUUAUCUUUAAAAGAAAAGGGCUGCAGGGUCAUGGCCCCCCGGGAUGGAAGAGCUUGGAUCUCCACAAACUGCUUACUGUUCCACCUCAUGACCCGGGAGUCCCCGAUGAAGCGGGUAAGGGAAAGGUAGAGGGUAUUUUGCAUUCGGAAGCUCUUCACAGCCAGUACGUCCUCCAUGUUGGGGAUGUCACCAUGGGGGACAAACUUCUUAGAGCUUUUAUUCCACUGGAGGAUGAUGGGGACCUGGGAGCGGCUGGACAGGAUGAGAUGCGAUUUUCCAUCGAUAUCAACAAACUCCGCAUCCGUGUCCCUGAACCACUCGUGCAGUGACUGGUAAGAAUAGAAUCCUUUGCUGUUCCAUUUAUAAACUGUGGACAGACCAGCCUUUGAGCUGUCUGCGAUGACAAAGAACGUCUCGUCGUCGAUCUGAAACAGCUCGAUGUCAUUGGGCUUGGAAAUGCGAGAGACCUCUAUGUCUUGGAAUUUGACAAAUUUGGUCCAACUCUCGUCGUAUUUGUAAAUGUGAGAGCCACCGAAGAGCUGGGCUACCACCACAAAGACCUGAUCAUCGAUGAGAAUGGCCUUACAGCCCACGAUGGACUGACCUGUGCUCCAAAAUAAAGGAGAGGACAUUAGUGCAACUACAGCUAAAAACGCAUCUCCGCUUGUACUCUUAUACACUGCUGGUGGGAGUGUGAAAUGGCACAGCCACUAUGGAAAACAGUAUGGUGGUUCCUUGAAAAAUUAAACAUGGAAUUACCCUAUGAGCCAGCAAUUCCACUUCUUUGUAUAUACCCAAAAUAAUUGAAAGCAGUGACUCAAAGAGAUAUCUGUACACCUAAUGCUAUAGACCAAAUGUUUGUGCUCUCUCCAAAUGCAUAUGAUGAAACCUCAUCUCCAAUGUGAUGGUAUUUGGUGGUGGGGCCUUUGGGAGGUGAUUAGGUCAUGGGAGCAGAGUCCUCAGGAAUGGGAUUAGUGCCUUCCAACUCCCUCUGCCCUUUCACCACAUAGACACAGCAAAGAGGUGGCCAGCUAUGCAGUGGGUUCUUGCCACAUACCAAAUCUGCCAAUGUCUUGAUCUUGGACUUCCCAGGCCCAGAACUAUGAGAAAUAAAUUUCUGUUGCUUAUAAGCCA
Molecule: non-coding RNA, 9184 nt
Organism: Homo sapiens (human)
Lineage: Eukaryota; Metazoa; Chordata; Mammalia; Primates; Hominidae
Source: RefSeq, a predicted model, not a curated record